Molecule: long non-coding RNA, 778 nt
Filed under: Chloebia gouldiae (Gouldian finch)
Lineage: Eukaryota; Metazoa; Chordata; Aves; Passeriformes; Passeridae
Description: Erythrura gouldiae (Gouldian finch) lncRNA (ENSEGOG00005005511.1)
Source: RNAcentral
CGCUGAGGUCCCUUUUUUCCCUGCCAGCCAUCCCACCCAAGGAAGCAGAGCAGGGAGAUGCUUCACACUGUGUUUGUGCAACCUCCAGCUCUUGCUCAGGAGAGGAAAACGCCUACACCUGUGAGCAGACAGUGAGGAGAAUGGGUCUGACCUGCUCCAUCUGCACAAGCUGUUUUCCCAGAGCUGCCUCAGGCUAUAGGAGCCCACAAGGAAGUGAAGGCUUUUCUGCAUCUUUUGUAAAAUCAUUAAUAGGACAAUCCAGAGGAGAAGUGGAAGAAAACCCAACUACCAUCACCUCCUAUCCCCAUCAAACCCUUGGAAAUGCUGUGGAAACAGGACCUGCAUGAAGACCUAUAGGGCAUAAGUACAUGAAGAAUUUGGGAGAGGUACCUGGAACAUGGGAAUCCAGAGAAAAGUACUUUGUUUACAGCACCAGAGUCUCCCAGAGCUGUGGAGAGUCCACAUGGCUGAAAGUUGGCAGCCAGGCUGCAGGGAUAUCAGCUGCCUGCCUGGUCCCUGAGCCCAUUCACAAAUUGGGCGAGGCUGGACAAGCCAUUUCACCCAGGAUGAAAAUCCUACCACAGCUGGGAUGUGCAAGGGUUGGACAAAACACUGCUUUGUGCUGUUUGGACAUUAUUCACUUGGAAUAAAAAUAUAUGUUUAAGAGGAGAUUUCCACCCUUUCUCAGGUGGCAUUAGCUAUGCUGUGGUGCUUACAGGAGGUGACAAUGGGAGAACAGGAUGUGUUGUGCUGUUGUCUAAAAGCAGAAAGGUAGGUG